Micropterus dolomieu (smallmouth bass) is the source of this 240-nucleotide long non-coding RNA. RefSeq lists it as uncharacterized. The record is from RefSeq and is a predicted model, not a curated record. The transcript has 4 exons. Lineage: Eukaryota; Metazoa; Chordata; Actinopteri; Centrarchiformes; Centrarchidae.
CUCCUUUUUCUCCUCCUUCAGCCUCCCCCCCUCUCUCCUCUCCCCUCCUAACAGUUGGACUACCUGUGGGUUCUCUGGUUCUUCUGGUUCUUCUGGUUCUGGUCCUGGUCGGAGUUCUGUUGCUCCGCAGGAAUCAAACAGAUGCUGUCAGAUCUGCUCAAAGGAAACACACUGCAGGUCUGGCUGUGCUGACUGCUGCAGGUGCGGCUGUGUUGCUGUGUGGACUGCUUGUUUCUGCAG